RNAcentral lists this long non-coding RNA (280 nucleotides) under Malus domestica (apple). RNAcentral describes it as "long non-coding RNA (MDOM_LNC001020)". Lineage: Eukaryota; Viridiplantae; Streptophyta; Magnoliopsida; Rosales; Rosaceae. The record is from RNAcentral.
AAUGCACAUUUAUCUUUGUACAUAUAUGAAAUUUUUAUACUUUCAUGAUUUUCAGGAUUGAAGGUGCUCAAGGUCAAGAUUACUUAAGUACAAGACCAAAGCUCCAAGUUGUUAUGUUGUCUUUAAUGCUUGCAAUUUACAAUGACAUAUUAUUAAUGCUACCGCUAGCCAAAUAAUCAUUACAUUUGAAUAGUAAUGAUGAAUACGAAGUAUUGUGCAUGUAUAUGCUGAAAGCAUGGUGGUUUUUCUGUUAGAUUAUUGGAAAUUUAGUAUCUAGCAU